GGGGCUAGGAAGGUCUGACUACGGUCCUACAAACACCGAUCCGAACGUGGUGGAAUACGUCGACCGUUAGGGCUGUCACUACCCUAAGGCUACCACAACAAUCCGCAGGAUUGGGUGCAAUUCCAGGUAAUUGCAAGACUAAACACCACGUCUAAUCUAUUAAUUACUACUCUAGCGUUAUAAAGACUUGAGCACUUGAUGCAAGCAGGAAUCCAAUAAAUAACUUGAAUGUAAACAAAAGUAAUUAAAGAACUCAGGAAUUAUGAAUUGAAGAACCUGGAGAACGAUGAAGAACGAACCAGAUGCUGCAAAAGUAUAAUGUUGAGGAAGAUCCGACAAAUCCGGCUCCUCCUCCUCCGCUCUCCUCUUCUCUGUCCCUAUUUUCUAGAUUACAACUAGAACUAACUAGAACUAGAACUAGAGGAACUAGAACUAGAACUAGAUGAACUAGAACUAGAUCUAGAUGAACUAGAGGUAGAACUAGAAGAACUAGAGGGAUCCUCUCUACUUGGAUGAAGAAUUGAAACCCUAACUUUGAUUCUGUAGAAGAGGUAUGAUCUCCAGGGGCCAGGGGGGUCUGGUUUUAUAGUCCCUUCAAGUGAAUCUGGGCCGUCGGAUCAAACCGACAUUGAUCGUGUGGUUUUCCUUGAAGUAUUAGGUCGGUGGAGCAUGAUCCCCGAACUUCACCCUGAUUGGUCCAGGGGGAGGGCGGGCGCCCAGUUAGGGAGGGCGGGCGCCCAGUGCCCGACUCCGUUACGUCUCCCGUUCGCUCCCGUGGCUUCUGGACUCUUCUAGAUGGUAGAUAAUUGUGCGGCACGUUAAUAUCUCUAUGUAAACCCGACGUGUGGGCCUUUCCUCCAUAUUUCCUGAUAACCCCCUGCAGAAAUAGACAAACACCAAAACUCGUGGAAUUCUGUCAGAUAAAACCUUAAGUCUAGGUGUUGGUUGCAUUUGGAUCCUUUUCUAUGAUUAAUUGAUGGUUAAAUAUGAGCAUUAAGGACCGUCAACAAGCUCCCCCAAGCUUAACCUUUGCUCGUCCCUGAGCAAAGAUGAACUCAAGAGUUUCUGCAGUGGUUUCAUAACUUAAAGAUACACAUGCGUUUAAACAAGAUCUCAUCUCUGGUUAGAGUAAACUGUUAAGACUUAAAACUUACUCAUUUACCUUUCACCAUGGGACUUGUAACCGUCACUUCUGUCUUGAGUAGUUAAAAGAUUGAACGGUCUAGUCAAACACCAUGUCUCUUAUUCUUGAUCAACUAUAGCUCUGGAGUUUUUGUAGAUUUUCAAAUAAAACUCAGAGAUUCCUUGUAUGACUCUCUCUAGUCUCUCUUUUGUAGUAUUUCUGGAUCCUUACCAAGGCAGUAUUGGUAUAUGCCUUCUCUCAAAGUAUGUGGUAUUUGUGGUAUAAGGCAUAGUGGCAUUGCCUUCUCUCUCACCCUACUCUAAUAAGGCUUUUGAUAUCUGGAGCUCAUAGGUGGGAGACAACUAAUACAUACUUACAAGACAUUUAUUGCAUAGUCAAACCAUGGAUCCAAAAGAACAAGUCAAUAAGUCAAAUCAAGAUGUGCAUGUGUGGCGAAUGAAUGGUGUAUGGUGAUGAUGGUGAUAACAAUGGUGAAAGUCUAAUUCUACUUAUGCUCUUUUGAGGGGAUACAUACCUUUCUUGCACUUUGAAGCUUUUUGAGGAGAAUGAGAUGCUCUAUGUUUUCUUUUUCUUUUCUCUCAGGUGGGUAUCUUGUACCCCUAAUUCUACUAUCGGACACUUGUCCUUUUUUACCUCUCGUCUCACUUUUUCUUUUCUUCGAGGUUCCGGGCACUUGCCCCUUUUUAUUUCCUCGUAUAUAUAUAUUUUUUUUCUUUUUUUUAGAGCACUCAUCUCAUGAGAUAAUAUAGCAAGUGGUAGUAACAAGAUAACUUGAGCAUUUAUUUCACAGGGGAAAAACAGGAAUAUUUUUGGCUAUUCUCUCCCGGAUUAGGAGUAGAAUAUUUUUGGGUGGUUCUGGAGAUGGAAAUGGAUAUAUAUAUGUGGAUGGUACUUCUGGAGUAGAAGUAGCAUGUGUGAGUGAACGUGCAAGUGAAUCUUGAUUUAACCACAUGACAAGCUCCUAAGGGUCUACACAGCUUGACCACACUCAAUGCUCAUAAGUAGUAAAAAGUAAAUGUGUGGCUCAAAGUCUAGCAAGCAAGUAUAUAUGGCUGUGGUAGGAAUUUAAACUCUUAUCAUACAGGAACUCAUCAUGUAACAUUUUAAAGAUUUUCAAACAUAAAAUUCUCCAGAAUUCUAGCAUCUCUAGGAACAGAUAAACAGCAGCUCAACCUUCCCAUAUCGUAUCCGUUAACGACUUAGACUUUAGAUCAAGUACUCUCCCCACAAGUUCAGGUUUAGAGCAAAUCUUAAUUAAUAACAGUGAUGCCUAAACUUGAGAGAGAUUUCAAUUUUGAGAACUAGUCAUGGCAGAGCAACUAUUCAUCUUUCCAUGUGAGAGCUUAUCAUGAGGGUUCAUAGCAAAUUUUAUUUAUUUAUUUAUUUAGCAAACUAAGCAAAGAUAUAUAUAUAAGCACAAAAUCUUUAUUUGGGUUUUUAUGAUUGUGCAUCUUUUUUAUUAUUUAAGUAAAGUAUAAACAUGAGUAGAGCACUUAGCUGGAUAAAUGGGGUUGCUCUCCCCCAAGCUGGGUUUUGACGUAAUUCCUUCUGAUGUAGCUAGCAGGUGGUGGAGGUGUAUUUGAAUGUGGCAGCACCCUGACAGCGAUUAGGAUGUCCUCCGUCUGCUAGUCUUCUUUGAUCCUUGAAUUCUGUGGAGCUCAAAUAGACAACAAAGCUUUGUGGAACUAGUUAAGUGUUAGCAUAAAUAUCUAGCCUUUAUCAUGUUGAGCCUCCUCAAUAAAUAUUACUUUCUUUGGUAGGAUCAUAAAUUUAUUUUUAUAUUUUCAUUUUUAUAGGACAGGAAUAUAUUUAUUUUAUUUUUUUAUGCCACCACAGUGAAUGUACUUAUGGGUUUUAUGCCAUGAGCAUACUCACAUGGGGCUUACUAUUUUUAACAUUUUUAUGUUCUUUUCAAGAUGAUAUGAAUAUGAUUAACUAAGCAAACUAUUUUAAAUAAUUGAAAGGUAAAAGAUAACUACCAAGUUUACCUCUUGGCAAGGCGUUCGGUGUUUUUACGUCCUCCGAACGGGACUCUCUGUUUUCUCAAUCGUCCUAGGAUUCGCUGGAUGGCGUAGUCGGUGGUUCCGGUGGAGCCUGCUCUUCAUGUAUAACUAUCUUCUCUGUCCACACUUGACUCGGUGCUACGGUCUCCUCAGGAAAAUUCUGUUCAAGCUGUAUGUCUUCAGACCUUACUACUUCUCCUUCAUAGUCUGCCCAUCCGUCCUUGAAAUUUGCCUCCUCUGGUUGCGGUUGCGUCGUCUUCUUCUUGUCCUGACCUGCUUAGAGUCUUCAACUAUAUAGUUAGGGUCAGUAAAACAGCGGCGUACCUUCUCAGAGGGGAAGUGCAUGUGGACUUCUCUGGUUCCAAUGUAGAUGAUUGCUUUAACGGUGCUGAGGAACGGUCUUCCAAGGAUGACGGGUGGAUUGUACUCAUCUUCUCCCAUGACAAUAACCUUACGGAAUGUCUGAUCUGCCAUUUGGAGCUGAAUGUAUGUCGGUUGUAGGGGCAUGGUUCCAUGCAGGAGCUGAUAAGUGACUGCGGCCAUUAUGUUGACGUUAGAUCCGGUGUCGUAGAGUGUCUUCUCCUUGAACUGUAGUGACCAUCUGAGCUGACUUGGUCCACAUUUGCUUGUUCCCGUUCCUCCUGUUGGUCCUCUUCCAUGGUUCAUGUCGGGAUUGCUCUGAGAUUUGUGUAGUCUUGUUCUUGAAGGAAAACGUCUCCUUCGUCCCCUUGAUGUAGAAACUGAUCUUGGCAGCAGUAGCGUAGAUGACAGCUCCCGAGGUGUUCAGGAAUGGCCUCUCUAGGAUGAUGGGUGCCCCCUCAUCAGAACUGGUCUCUAUCACUACGAAGUCUGCUGGGACGUACAAGGUACCAACUCGGACGUAGAGGUUCUUCAAUAUUCCCCUGGGCAUAAUGUUGACGCUGGAGCCAAAGUUGUAGAGUGCUUCUCGGAAGUCCGCCAUGCCGAUGGAGAUCGGGAUGACGGGGCGUCCUGGAUCGCCUCUCUUGACUGGCAGAAGGUCAGUAAUUACUUCCACAACGGGGUUACUCCAAUAGUUACGUCCUCAAGCAUCUCAGGGCAGUGAUUGCCUGAGUGUCCAGUAUCUCCAGUGUGUUUGUGCUCGUAGAUCUAGGUACUUCACUUGGUGGAGUCUGGGAGUUGUAAAAGUCCUGUAUAUUUUGCUCGAAGUGUACCUACUCAUAAAGACAAGGCAGAGAUCAAGUGCAUGGGCCCUGUUAGUGGAACACACCAACAGAACCAAAAGUGUAUUUGUUCUCUCUAACCUUAAGCAUAGUGAGCAAGACAAAGUUAAUGGAUAAUAAGAUCAUGAGUGUAACAUUUAAAACAUUUGUCAGAUCAGAUCGCUCAACCUAAUGGAAAGAUAAUCUAUCUAAGUAAAUGUUUUUUUCUUUACAUGACUAUCAUUUUCCAAAGAUUGAGUGUGCAACAUUUUAGUUCAUAUGAUUAGGAGUGUGGGAUCACAAAGAUGAAAGGACUAAACAUAUUGAAUUGAUUGGGUUGGUUAAUCUAAAGUUGUAAAUCAUAUAUGUUUGUCUCUUUUAUUCAUGUGAACGCCAGAACCAAGGAGAAGCUUUAUAAAAGUGAUAGUCAAGUACCUUAAGAUGUUACCUUACUUGAAGAGUGAUGGUACAGUAUCACCUUGUGGAAGCUUUCCUUUCUUAGCGGUUGUGCAACGUGUUUGUGGCACCCUCUAUGGAACAUCUCUUGAAAGCUAUGCUUUCCUUGUGUAAAUUGUUAAACUUCAUGUGUCUCUCUCUUUGUCUCCAAUGUGAGUUUAUCUCAGGACUUCCCAGAUCGAUAUUGAAAGUUUUCCUGCAGGGGUUAGUCCAACAAAAUAUCCAAUAUCUACUAUAGCAUACUAUCGGCUCAAAAAUCAACCUAGACACCAUGUCUAAUUUGAUUUAGGAGGGCAUUUUAACCUAAGCACCAUGCUUAAUUUAAAAUCCCUUGGAAGUAAGAUCAACAUUCCUAACUAAGCACCAUGCUUAAUUAAGAGAUAAAUGAAACUACACCAAACCUAGACAUAUACUAAAGCAAAUAGAGGUAGCAUGAGGGCAUUUAUAGAGAUCUACUCAAGUGGAGAUGAAGUAUUGUGAUUAGUAUUUAACAAAUUGAGCAUGUCUCAAAGGUAGGGACAACCAACAUAGCAACAUGGCAAAGGAUGUUUUUAUGUAAAGUACUCCCCCAAGCUUGAAUUUUGCAAAAUUCAAGUUUGGAUGAAUUUAAUUCAAUGUUGUAUGAUGAUUGGUUGUACAUACCUUGUGCUUGUCAUUCAUCCGAUCUUCUUGCUCCAAUCCUGGAAAGGUUAGUGACAAGAAUAUUCGAAGGAAUAUUUUUACAAUUAUCCUGAUAUGCUCAACACACAAGGUAAUGUUGCAAAUAAUUAAAAGUUUAUGUUAUGGUCUGAUCAGUGCUUAUUUUAGGACGCUAAGCUUGUCCUUGGGAAACCAUCAAUUUAUGUCAGUGAAGUGGUUUCCCCUCCAACGCUGAACUAUAUCAAGAUCAACCCAACGAGAUCUGCAAAACUUAUUAUAGACAUAUGCAUCGACAACCGCCCUUUUAAAGUUUUUAUGAAUAGAAAGGAAGAGGGGGUUGGAGAUCUCGAAUGUGGUGAUGUUGGAGAGACCAAUAGAUUGUGAAGAUGUUGCAUAUGAGCAUGGAGUAAAUGAAGUGGCUAUGAAAUAAAUUCCAUGCUCAUUAAUGCUUAGAGUGAAAUCCAUGUGGUAUGGUGAAAAUGAUAAGGUGAUUGUGGUAAAAAAGGAAAAUAAAAGGAUACACGGACGACUUGGUUCGAAACUAGCACAGCUACCGUUCCCCGGCAACGGCGCCAGAAAGCUUGUUGGGUAUUUUAAACGCAAACAGAAAAAUCCGCAAGCGCACGGAUACCGAUGUAGCUUUCACCCGGGAGUAUUCCAGAGUAUCGAUUUUCCACAGGGAACAUGAGUGUACUAAUUAAGAUCCAAGAUCGCCCAAGGAUAACUAUAUAAUUAUUUUUGGUGGGAAGAGAGGAAGUUUCCUGAGAGUUCUCUAGUUGAUCUAAGAAUCAAGAAUUACUUCAAGAUUAUCUAUAUCGGGACAUCAGAGCACUAACCACAGAAAGAGAUGAGAAGGGGGCUAGGAAGGUCUGACUACGGUCCUACAAACACCGAUCCGAACGUGGUGGAAUACGUCGACCGUUAGGGCUGUCACUACCCUAAGGCUAGCACAACAAUCCGCAGGAUUGGGUGCAAUUCCAGGUAAUUGCAAGACUAAACACCACGUCUAAUCUAUUAAUUACUACUCUAGCGUUAUAAAGACUUGAGCACUUGAUGCAAGCGAGAAUCCAAUAAAUAACUUGAAUGUAAACAAAAGUAAUUAAAGAACUCAGGAAUUAUGAAUUGAAGAACCUGGAGAACGAUGAAGAACGAACCAGAUGCUGCAAAAGUAUAAUGUUGAGGAAGAUCCGACAAAUCCGGCUCCUCCUCCUCCGCUCUCCUCUUCUCUCUCCCUAUUUUCUAGAUUACAACUAGAACUAGAACUAGAGGAACUAGAACUAGAACUAGAUGAACUAGAACUAGAUCCAGAUGAACUAGAGGUAGAACUAGAAGAACUAGAGGGAUCCUCUCUACUUGGAUGAAGAAUUGAAACCCUAACUUUGAUUCUGUAGAAGAGGUAUGAUCUCCAGGGGCCAGGGGGUCUGGUUUUAUAGUCCCUUCAAGUGAAUCUGGGCUGUCGGAUCAAACCGACAUUGAUCGUGUGGUUUUCCUUGAAGUAUUAGGUCGGUGGAGCAUGAUCCCCGAACUUCACCCUGAUUGGUCCAGGGGGGAGGGCGGGCGCCCAGUUAGGGAGGGC
RNAcentral lists this long non-coding RNA (6999 nucleotides) under Sorghum bicolor (sorghum). RNAcentral describes it as "long non-coding RNA (SBIC_LNC002886)". Lineage: Eukaryota; Viridiplantae; Streptophyta; Magnoliopsida; Poales; Poaceae. The record is from RNAcentral.